RNAcentral lists this ribosomal RNA (263 nucleotides) under uncultured bacterium. Its description in RNAcentral is "partial 16S ribosomal RNA". It matches the Rfam family "Bacterial small subunit ribosomal RNA", at positions 793 to 1055 of the family's 1533-position model. The record is from RNAcentral.
GUCCACGCCGUAAACGUUGGGCACUAGGUGUGGGACUCUAUCGACGGGUUCCGUGCCGUAGCUAACGCAUUAAGUGCCCCGCCUGGGGGAGUACGGCCGCAAGGCUAAAACUCAAAGGAAUUGACGGGGGCCCGCACAAGCGGCGGAGCAUGUGGCUUAAUUCGAUGCGACGCGAAGAACCUUACCUGGGUUUGACAUGUAGGGAAAAGCCGUAGAGAUACGGUGUCCUUCGGGGCCUUACACAGGUGGUGCAUGGCUGUCGU